GCUCUCUGGGUGGCGAGUGGCGGACGGGUGAGGAAUACAUCGGAAUCUACUUUUUCGUGGGGGAUAACGUAGGGAAACUUACGCUAAUACCGCAUACGACCUACGGGUGAAAGCAGGGGAUCUUCGGACCUUGCGCGAUUGAAUGAGCCGAUGUCGGAUUAGCUAGUUGGCGGGGUAAAGGCCCACCAAGGCGACGAUCCGUAGCUGGUCUGAGAGGAUGAUCAGCCACACUGGAACUGAGACACGGUCCAGACUCCUACGGGAGGCAGCAGUGGGGAAUAUUGGACAAUGGGCGCAAGCCUGAUCCAGCCAUACCGCGUGGGUGAAGAAGGCCUUCGGGUUGUAAAGCCCUUUUGUUGGGAAAGAAAUCCAGCUGGCUAAUACCCGGUUGGGAUGACGGUACCCAAAGAAUAAGCACCGGCUAACUUCGUGCCAGCAGCCGCGGUAAUACGAAGGGUGCAAGCGUUACUCGGAAUUACUGGGCGUAAAGCGUGCGUAGGUGGUCGUUUAAGUCCGUUGU
Molecule: ribosomal RNA, 520 nt
Filed under: Stenotrophomonas sp. EB35
Lineage: Bacteria; Pseudomonadati; Pseudomonadota; Gammaproteobacteria; Lysobacterales; Lysobacteraceae
Description: bacterial SSU rRNA
Rfam family: Bacterial small subunit ribosomal RNA
Source: RNAcentral